This 1697-nucleotide ribosomal RNA is filed under the name Aspergillus niger. RNAcentral's name for it is "SSU rRNA". It matches the Rfam family "Eukaryotic small subunit ribosomal RNA". The record is from RNAcentral. Lineage: Eukaryota; Fungi; Ascomycota; Eurotiomycetes; Eurotiales; Aspergillaceae.
AUCUGGUUGAUUCUGCAGUAGUCAUAUGCUUGUCUAAAGAUUAAGCCAUGCAUGUCUAUAUAAGCACUUUAUACUGUGAAACUGCGAAUGGCUCAUUAAUCAGUUAUCGUUUAUUUGAUAGUACUUACUACAUGGAUACUGUGGUAAUUCUAGAGCUAAUACAUGCUGAAAACUCGACUUCGGAAGGGGUGUAUUUAUUAGAUAAAAACCAAUGCCUUCGGGGCUCUUGGUGAAUCAUAUACUUAACGAAUCGCAUGGCUUGCGCCGGCGAUGGUUCAUUCAAAUUUCUGCCUAUCAACUUUCGAUGGUAGGAUAGUGGCUACAUGGUGGCAACGGGUAACGGGGAAUUAGGGUUCGAUUCCGGAGAGGGAGCCUGAGAAACGGCUACAAUCCAAAGGAGGCAGCAGGCGGCAAAUUACCAAUCCGACACGGGGAGGUAGUGACAAUAAAUAUGAUACGGGCUCUUUUGGGUCUCGUAAUUGGAAUGAGUAAAUCUAAAUCCUUAACGAGGAAUUGGAGGGCAAGUCUGGUGCAGCAGCCGCGUAAUUCCAGCUCCAAUAGCGUAUAUUAAGUUGUUGCAGUUAAAAGCUCGUAGUUGAACUUGGGUCUGGCUGGCCGGUCGCUCACCGCGAGUACUGGUCCGGCUGGACUUUCUUCUGGGGAAUCUCAUGGCUUCACUGGCUGUGGGGGGACCAGGACUUUUACUGUGAAAAAAUUAGAGUGUUCAAAGGCCUUUGCUCGAAUACAUUAGCAUGGAAUAAUGAAUGGACGUGCGGUUCUAUUUUGUUGGUUUCUAGGACCGCGUAAUGAUUAAUAGGGAUGUCGGGGGCGUCAGUAUUCAGCUGUCAGAGGUGAAAUUCUUGGAUUUGCUGAAGACUAACUACUGCGAAAGCAUUCGCCAAGGAUGUUUUCAUUAAUCAGGGAACGAAAGUUAGGGGAUCGAAGACGAUCAGAUACGUCGUAGUCUUAACAUAACUAUGCGACUAGGGAUCGGACGGUGUUUCUAUUAUGACCGUUCGGCACUUACGAGAAAUCAAAGUUUUUGGUUCUGGGGGGAGUAUGGUCGAAGGCUGAACUUAAAGAAUUGACGGAAGGGCACACCAGGCGUGGAGCCUGCGGCUUAAUUUGACUCACACGGGGAACUCACCAGGUCAGAAAAAAGGAUUGACAGAUUGAGAGCUCUUUCUUGAUCUUUUGGAUGGUGGUGCAUGGCGUUCUUAGUUGGUGGAGUGAUUUGUCUGCUUAAUUGCGAUAAGAACGAGACCGGCCUUAAUAGCCGGUCCGCAUUUGCGGGCGUGGCUUUAGGGGGACUAUCGCUCAAGCGAUGGAAGUGCGCGGCAUAAAGGUUCUGUGAUGCCUUAGAUGUUCUGGGCGCACGCGCGCUACCUGAAGGGCCAGCGAGUACAUCACUUGGCGAGAGGUCUGGGUAAUUUGUUAAACCCUGUCGUGCUGGGGAUAGAGCAUUGCAAUUAUUGCUCUUCAACGAGGAAUGCUAGUAGGCAGAGUCAUCAGCUCGUGCCGAUUACGUCCUGCCUUUGUACACCGCCGUCGCUACUACGAUUGAAUGGUGGUGAGGCUUCGGACUGGCUCAGGAGGGUUGGCAAGACCCCAGAGCGGAAAGUUGGUCAAACCCGGUCAUUUAGAGGAAGUAAAAGUCGUAACAAGGUUCCGUAGGUGAACCUGCGGAAGGAUCAUUA